UACGGAGGGGGCUAGCGUUGUUCGGAAUUACUGGGCGUAAAGGGCGCGUAGGCGGCGCGAUAAGUUGGGCGUGAAAGGCCCGGGCUCAACCCGGGGACUGCGCUUGAUACUGUCGCGCUGUGAGUCCGGGAGAGGAUGGCGGAAUUCCCAGUGUAGUGGUGAAAUACGUAGAGAUUGGGAAGAACACCAGUGGCGAAGGCGGCUAUCUGGACGGUUUCUGACGCUAAGACGCGAAAGCGUGGGGAGCAAACAGG
This 254-nucleotide ribosomal RNA is filed under the name uncultured bacterium. Its description in RNAcentral is "partial 16S ribosomal RNA". It matches the Rfam family "Bacterial small subunit ribosomal RNA", at positions 524 to 776 of the family's 1533-position model. The record is from RNAcentral.